CAGCAGCCGGGUAAUACAGAGGGUGCGAGCGUUAAUCGGAUUUACUGGGCGUAAAGCGUGCGUAGGCGGCUUCUUAAGUCGGAUGUGAAAUCCCUGAGCUUAACUUAGGAAUUGCAUUCGAUACUGGGAAGCUAGAGUAUGGGAGAGGAUGGUAGAAUUCCAGGUGUAGCGGUGAAAUGCGUAGAGAUCUGGAGGAAUACCGAUGGCGAAGGCAGCCAUCUGGCCUAAUACUGACGCUGAGGUACGAAAGCAUGGGGAGCAAACAGGAUUAGAUACCCCCGUAGUCCCUGUCUCUUAUACA
This 301-nucleotide ribosomal RNA is filed under the name uncultured bacterium. Its description in RNAcentral is "partial 16S ribosomal RNA". It matches the Rfam family "Bacterial small subunit ribosomal RNA", at positions 509 to 808 of the family's 1533-position model. The record is from RNAcentral.